Long non-coding RNA from Scylla paramamosain (green mud crab), 666 nucleotides. RefSeq lists it as uncharacterized. NCBI's taxonomy places the organism in Eukaryota, Metazoa, Arthropoda, Malacostraca, Decapoda, Portunidae. The transcript has 2 exons. The record is from RefSeq and is a predicted model, not a curated record.
UCUGUUGCCAGCGCAGCCUAUCUCUAUGAACGAUUAUACAUGGAAGUGAAGGUCGCUCAGGAUUUCACGGACAGUGAACAAAAUACGCUUCUUUACGUUACUCAAGACAGUUUUUUGGCUGAUUUUUCAGCAUUUGUAUUGAUUCGAGAUGCUCCAUUCAAGCCAAACAUUGACUACUGCUUAUUUACAUUUCACGGGGCUGGACUGAUAGAGAAGUGGGGAAGGGACGUGAUGGAUAAAAUUCGCAGUGAGAGCAGGAAGAAACGGAGAAAGGAAAAGUCACAUGAAGCAAAGGAGGCUGAAGCAAAAAUCAAGCCCCUUGCUCUCGUGCAUAUGCAGGGGCCGCUCUCCCUUUACCUGGCAUGUAUCAUCAUCUCCUUUGCUGCCUUCCUCAGUGAGGCAACCUUUGGCGUCUGGUGUCAUCAACGAACAAGAAAAAUAUAAUAGCACUCUUCCUUUAUUGCGGCUUUCCAUGCUUCUAGUUCGGAACGCCACAGACAAAAUGAAUCUUUGUUAUGUAUAGUGAACAUUGCAUUUAGAGAGAGAAAAAAAAAAGGAAAAAAAUACAGGUUUUGUUCAUCUGAAAAAAAAAAAAUAAAAUAAAAUAAACGCCAUGUUCGACUGGGAAAGUGGUUCAUGUUUUUACAAAUAAAGUAAAUAACAGAU